Marasmius tenuissimus is the source of this 82-nucleotide non-coding RNA. NCBI's taxonomy places the organism in Eukaryota, Fungi, Basidiomycota, Agaricomycetes, Agaricales, Marasmiaceae. The record is from the annotation of a GenBank genome assembly.
GCAUUAAUGGGGUAGUGGUAACCUGGGUCGUUGCCAUUCGAGUUCACUCGACCCGCCGGGGGUUCGAUUCCCUCUUAAUGCA